UACGUAGGGUGCAAGCGUUAAUCGGAAUUACUGGGCGUAAAGCGUACGCAGGCGGCUAUGUAAGACAGGUGUGAAAUCCCCGGGCCUAACCUGGGAACUGCAUUUGUGACUGCAUAGCUAGAGUCCGUCAGAGGGGGGUGGAAUUCCACGUGUAGCAGUGAAAUGCGUAGAGAUGUGGAGGAACACCGAUGGCGAAGGCAGCCCCCUGGGAUGAGACUGACGCUCAUGUACGAAAGCGCGGGGAGCAAACAGG
RNAcentral lists this ribosomal RNA (253 nucleotides) under uncultured bacterium. RNAcentral describes it as "partial 16S ribosomal RNA". It matches the Rfam family "Bacterial small subunit ribosomal RNA", at positions 524 to 776 of the family's 1533-position model. The record is from RNAcentral.